This 440-nucleotide ribosomal RNA is filed under the name uncultured bacterium. Its description in RNAcentral is "partial 16S ribosomal RNA". It matches the Rfam family "Bacterial small subunit ribosomal RNA", at positions 338 to 795 of the family's 1533-position model. The record is from RNAcentral.
CCUACGGGAGGCAGCAGUGGGGAAUAUUGCACAAUGGGGGAAACCCUGAUGCAGCGACGCCGCGUGAGUGAGGAAGUAUUUCGGUAUGUAAAGCUCUAUCAGCAGGGAAGAAAAUGACGGUACCUGACUAAGAAGCCCCGGCUAACUACGUGCCAGCAGCCGCGGUAAUACGUAGGGGGCAAGCGUUAUCCGGAUUUACUGGGUGUAAAGGGAGCGUAGACGGCUAAUCAAGUCAGAAGUGAAAACCCAGGGCUCAACCUUGGGAGUGCUUUUGAAACUGGCGUGCUCGAGUUGGAGAGAAGUAUGCGGAAUUCGUGGUGUAGCGGUGAAAUGCAUAGAUAUCACGAAGAACCCCGAUUGCGAAGGCAGCAUACCGGCUCCACACUGACGCUGAGGCACGAAAGCGUGGGUAUCGAACAGGAUUAGAUACCCCAGUAGUC